Molecule: ribosomal RNA, 280 nt
Filed under: uncultured bacterium
Lineage: Bacteria
Description: partial 16S ribosomal RNA
Rfam family: Archaeal small subunit ribosomal RNA
Source: RNAcentral
UGCCAGCAGCCGCGGUAAUACCGGCAGCUCGAGUGAUAGCCACUAUUAUUGGGCCUAAAGCGUCCGUAGCCGGCCGAACAGGUCCAUCGGGAAAUCCGCCAGCCCAACUGGCGGGCGUCCGGUGGAAACUGCGUGGCUCGGGACCGGAAGACCCAACGGGUACGUCUUGGGUAGGAGUGAAAUCCCGUAAUCCUGGACGGACCACCGAUAGCGAAAGCACGUUGGGAAGACGGAUCCGACGGUGAGGGACGAAAGCCAGGGUCUCGAACCGGAUUAGAUA